CGGCAGCACGGGCUUCGGUCUGGUGGCGAGUGGCGAACGGGUGAGUAAUGUAUCGGAACGUACCCUUCAGUGGGGGAUAACUAUCCGAAAGGAUAGCUAAUACCGCAUAUUCUCUGAGGAGGAAAGCGGGGGAUCGCAAGACCUCGCGCUGAUGGAGCGGCCGAUAUCAGAUUAGCUAGUUGGUGGGGUAAAGGCCUACCAAGGCGACGAUCUGUAGCGGGUCUGAGAGGAUGAUCCGCCACACUGGGACUGAGACACGGCCCAGACUCCUACGGGAGGCAGCAGUGGGGAAUUUUGGACAAUGGGGGCAACCCUGAUCCAGCCAUGCCGCGUGAGUGAAGAAGGCCUUCGGGUUGUAAAGCUCUUUCGGCCGGGAAGAAAUCGCGUGAGUUAAUACCUUGCGUGGAUGACGGUACCGGAAUAAGAAGCACCGGCUAACUACGUGCCAGCAGCCGCGGUAAUACGCAGGGUGCGAGCGUUAAUCGGAAUUACUGGGCGUAAAGCGUGCGCAGGCAGUUUUUUAAGACAGGCGUGAAA
RNAcentral lists this ribosomal RNA (537 nucleotides) under uncultured Azonexus sp. RNAcentral's name for it is "bacterial SSU rRNA". It matches the Rfam family "Bacterial small subunit ribosomal RNA", at positions 67 to 599 of the family's 1533-position model. Lineage: Bacteria; Pseudomonadati; Pseudomonadota; Betaproteobacteria; Rhodocyclales; Azonexaceae. The record is from RNAcentral.